GACAGAGGUGCCGAGCGUUUAGGCGGAAUCACUGGGCUUAAAGCGUGUGUAGGCGGGCGGGCAAGUACCUUAUGAAAUCCCCCGGCUCAACUGGGGAACUGCGUGGGAAACUGCGAGGCUUGAGUUCGGGAGAGGGAAGCGGAAUUCCGGGUGUAGCGGUGAAAUGCGUAGAUAUCCGGAGGAACACCGGUGGCGAAGGCGGCUUCCUGGACCGACACUGACGCUGAGGCGCGAAAGCUAGGGGAGCAAACGGG
Molecule: ribosomal RNA, 254 nt
Filed under: uncultured bacterium
Lineage: Bacteria
Description: partial 16S ribosomal RNA
Rfam family: Bacterial small subunit ribosomal RNA
Source: RNAcentral